This 274-nucleotide ribosomal RNA is filed under the name uncultured bacterium. RNAcentral describes it as "partial 16S ribosomal RNA". It matches the Rfam family "Bacterial small subunit ribosomal RNA", at positions 523 to 796 of the family's 1533-position model. The record is from RNAcentral.
AUACGGAGGGAGCUAGCGUUGUUCGGAAUUACUGGGCGUAAAGCGCACGUAGGCGGAUUGGUCAGUUGGAGGUGAAAUCCCAGGGCUCAACCCUGGAACUGCCUUCAAUACUGCCAGUCUAGAGAUCGGAAGAGGUGAGUGGAAUUCCUAGUGUAGAGGUGAAAUUCGUAGAUAUCAGGAGGAACACCAGUGGCGAAGGCGGCUCACUGGUCCGAUACUGACGCUGAGGUGCGAAAGCGUGGGGAGCAAACAGGAUUAGAAACCCCAGUAGUCC